AUGCAGUGCCAAGGUGGGGCUGGGGACGCCAUUCACUGUCAAAGGGGAGGUGCUCUGGCUGGCAGCCAUGUCCAGGAGGACGAGGAAGCUGUGCAGGUGCCCGCUGGGGAAGCUAGCCAGGCACCCAGUGCUGUGGGCGCAGCUGGAGCUGGGCUCAUGGCGCCCUCGGGGUUUGGGCCGUGCAGGCUGGUGGUGACUGGGGUGUCAGGCGGGGUGUCGGUCGGUCGAGUCUUGCGAAAGACACACAGCUCUUCCCACGCUGUUUCGCUUCUGCCUCAGCGGUGGUCCAGCUGUCGCCACCGCACAGCGUGCAGGUGACUGCUGCCGCGGAGGCAGGCCCGUCUGCCCUCCGCCUCCCAGCAGCACACGCCGCCUCUGAGACACACCAGCUCCCUGCCUCCAAGCCUGGUGCCACAGGCCUGUCGUGAGGGACCCCUGCUUCCGAGAGCUCCUGGGGGGUUCUACCCUUCACCACCUGGGAGAGGUGUCAGUUCAGUUCUGGGUUGAACAAGGCCCGUGCACACAGCAUGCUGGGGACCCAGCCUAAAGUUCUUGUCACCUCCUCAUGCAAAGCCAGCAAUCACUCUCCGGCCAGAGCCCCCAAACCUCGAGGUGGCCCCUUGGCCAGCCCCUCCUUGGGCCUCCAGGAGGACCGAGGACCCCUCCCAGCGGCUGCCCGUUGCCCUCCGCAGGGCUGGCUGUCAGGGGCAUGUCACUCUGUGCCGUGGACUGAGACCAGCUCCUGGUGACAGAAUGACCCGCGUGUUGGAGAUGCCUCGCUGUCAGAGAAACUCCCCAGGCAUCUCGGAACGAAACUAUUUAGUUCCAUUGUGAACUGGCCACAGAACAGCUUUUUAUCAACUUAUUAAGUUGGAGCACUCUAAUAGCUCUUGCUGAUUUAGCAAUGGUAUAAGUGUGUGUUAAACACAUAAUGUUAUGUUUUAGGAGGAGGAGGAGGAGGUCGUCAGGAAGGGUCAUGUCAUUCAUGACUUUCCUGUUAGUUGGGUAAGUGGCCUCAUGUUUGUGUCCGUCUGGACACAGAGCCCUUGGGUUCUGUCAUGUUUCUUUGCCAGGUGAACGUUCGUGGCAUGCACUGCUGUUUGCACCCGCUCUGUCCUGCACAAGGUUCGCUCGUGCAGCGCCCUGAUUGCCUCUGCACCGGGAACCUCCCUGCGUCUGUUUCUCUGUUCCUCUGUGGCUGACUCAAUAAACUUUUCCCUCUGACAUGA
This is an RNA transcript of Sapajus apella (tufted capuchin), 1229 nucleotides long. RefSeq lists it as uncharacterized. The record is from RefSeq and is a predicted model, not a curated record. The transcript is spliced from 2 exons. Lineage: Eukaryota; Metazoa; Chordata; Mammalia; Primates; Cebidae.